AACAGCCGCGGUAAUUCCAGCUCCAAUAGCGUAUAUUAAAGUUGCUGCAGUUAAAAAGCUCGCAGUUGAAUUUCGGGACCAUCAUGUCGGUCGUGCCUAGGUACGUACUGGCAUUGUUGGUUUCUACCUUCUGACGAACCAUGAUGUCAUUUAUUUGGUGUCGUGGGAAAUCAGGACUGUUACUUUGAAAAAUUAGAGUGUUUAAAGCAGGCCCACGCUUGAAUACAUUAGCAUGGAAUAAUGAAAUAGGACGUUUGAUUCUAUUUUGUUGGUUUCUAGGAUCGACGUAAUGAUUAAUAGGGAUAGUUGGGGGCAUUAGUAUUCAAUUGUCAGAGGUGAAAUUCUUGGAUUUAUUGAAGACUAACUACUGCGAAAGCAUUUGCCAAGGAUGUAUUCAUUAAUCAAGAACGAAAGUUAGGGGAUCGAAGACGAUCAGAUACCGUCGUAGUCUUAACC
This 456-nucleotide ribosomal RNA is filed under the name uncultured Glomus. Its description in RNAcentral is "SSU rRNA". It matches the Rfam family "Eukaryotic small subunit ribosomal RNA", at positions 569 to 1031 of the family's 1831-position model. The record is from RNAcentral. Lineage: Eukaryota; Fungi; Glomeromycota; Glomeromycetes; Glomerales; Glomeraceae.